UUAUCCAUAAUAUAGGUACAUUAAUGAGAAUGGCAAUACAGAUCUCUCCAUACUGCCCUGCCAAUGUACCUCUUGCUAUGGAAGGGCCACAUCUGUAGAGAA
RNAcentral lists this small RNA (102 nucleotides) under Chrysemys picta bellii (western painted turtle). RNAcentral describes it as "TUC338 (ENSCPBG00000001212.1)". The record is from RNAcentral. Lineage: Eukaryota; Metazoa; Chordata; Testudines; Emydidae.